AGUGAACGCUGGCGGUAGGCCUAACACAUGCAAGUCGAACGAGUGGCGGACGGGUGAGGAAUACAUCGGAAUCUACUCUGUCGUGGGGGAUAACGUAGGGAAACUUACGCUAAUACCGCAUACGAUUGAAUGAGCCGAUGUCGGAUUAGCUAGUUGGCGGGGUAAAGGCCCACCAAGGCGACGAUCCGUAGCUGGUCUGAGAGGAUGAUCAGCCACACUGGAACUGAGACACGGUCCAGACUCCUACGGGAGGCAGCAGUGGGGAAUAUUGGACAAGGGGCGCAAGCCUGAUCCAGCCAUACCGCGUGGGUGAAGAAGGCCUUCGGGUUGUAAAGCACUUUCAGCGAGGAGGCGUUACUCGCAGAAGAAGCACCGGCUAACUCCGUGCCAGCAGCCGCGGUAAUUC
This 406-nucleotide ribosomal RNA is filed under the name uncultured bacterium. RNAcentral's name for it is "partial 16S ribosomal RNA". It matches the Rfam family "Bacterial small subunit ribosomal RNA", at positions 29 to 526 of the family's 1533-position model. The record is from RNAcentral.